RNAcentral lists this ribosomal RNA (19 nucleotides) under Sphinctospermum constrictum. RNAcentral's name for it is "partial large subunit ribosomal RNA". Lineage: Eukaryota; Viridiplantae; Streptophyta; Magnoliopsida; Fabales; Fabaceae. The record is from RNAcentral.
GAGACCUCUGGUCAGGCGG